UACGUAGGGGGGCAAGCGUUGUCCGGAAUCAUUGGGCGUAAGAGCGCGUAGGCGGUCCGGUAAGUCGGUUGUGAAAACUGGGGGCUCAACCCUCAGAGGCCGACCGAUACUGUCGGGCUAGAGUCCGGAAGAGGCGAGUGGAAUUCCUGGUGUAGCGGUGAAAUGCGCAGAUAUCAGGAGGAACACCAAUGGCGAAGGCAGCUCGCUGGGACGGUACUGACGCUGAGGCGACGAAAGGCGUGGGGGAGCAAACAGG
RNAcentral lists this ribosomal RNA (256 nucleotides) under uncultured bacterium. Its description in RNAcentral is "partial 16S ribosomal RNA". It matches the Rfam family "Bacterial small subunit ribosomal RNA", at positions 524 to 776 of the family's 1533-position model. The record is from RNAcentral.